UUCAAGUAAUCCAGGAUAGGCUGUUUCCAUCCGCGAGGCCUAUUCUUGAUUACUUGUUUC
This 60-nucleotide microRNA precursor is filed under the name Dasypus novemcinctus (nine-banded armadillo). RNAcentral describes it as "microRNA dno-mir-26a precursor (dno-mir-26a-2)". Its record names the gene dno-mir-26a-2. It matches the Rfam family "mir-26 microRNA precursor family", at positions 12 to 70 of the family's 81-position model. From Rfam's summary of the family: The hairpin precursors (represented here) are predicted based on base pairing and cross-species conservation -- their extents are not known. In this case the mature sequence is excised from the 5' arm of the hairpin. Lineage: Eukaryota; Metazoa; Chordata; Mammalia; Cingulata; Dasypodidae. The record is from miRBase by way of RNAcentral.